Molecule: long non-coding RNA, 1077 nt
Filed under: Canis lupus familiaris (dog)
Lineage: Eukaryota; Metazoa; Chordata; Mammalia; Carnivora; Canidae
Description: lncRNA (ENSCAFG00030011482.1)
Source: RNAcentral
GGUAUCCUGGCAGAUAAAUUUCAGUAGUAAAUCCUUAUACUGAAAAAUAUACUUGAGAAAAUUAUGUUCUAUACACAAAAGCCAACUUAAGUUUCAAUCUCUGUUGUUUUUAAUUCUCUCUCUUUCAAAAUAUCAAAGUCUUUCAAAUGGUAACAUGGUUAAAUUCUUUGCCAAAUCCUAUGUGUUAAAAUGAAGGUGUUUUUGAGUCAUCAAAGCUUAUAAAAAGACCUUUAACAAGUAAACAGCUUCUCUCUCUCUCUCUCUCUUUCUCUCUCUCUUUUUUUAAACUGGAAGAUGUGGUAUAAGAAAACACAUUCAUGGACACCAUAUGUGAAUCAAGUUUCAUCCCAAGAUUUUGAGAUUUUUGAGAAUUCCUAGAAAAUGAGAGCUUUACAUUUAUAGUCUGAAGAAGCUCAGUCAGUGCCACUAUUUUCCUCCUGAUGUACAUACAUGAUUUAUACUGACUCAUACUGAUUUGUAUGCAUGUAUAAAACUCAAGGUGUUUUAUUUUGGUCAUUCUAUUGAAAAAUCUUUGAUAAUCUUGUUUCAGAAAAAAGAGGCCAUCACUAGUUCAGGAACAUGAAAAAUAAUCAUUACUCCAGGAUCUCUACUGUCAUUUCAAGAUUAACUUAUAUUGUUCUUGUGCUGUGAUAAACUAUCAACUUUUUUCCCAAAGUACACCACUGCAUUCCCGCAUAGGCUACGUUUCCCUUGGGAACAAUGGGUCCUGGUUGCUGUGGGUUUGGUGCAACAUGGCAGUCCGCAUCUCACACCAGAUCCUCUGGGAAAGAAAAGAACAGUGAACAGUUCUAAUUUUUUUCUCUUUGAAAAGGCUUGUGUUUGAUUUGAACUAUAUUUGUAUGAAUAUAAUAAACACAAGUUGAUGUGAAAAGAUAUUUCUCUUUUAUAGAAUGUUCAUGUUCAUAGGGUAAGUUGCAGAUCAAAAUAUGCAGGUGAAUUAAUUUGUUAUUUAUGAUUGGGCAUAAUUUUAGUUCUUUGGGAAUAUUGAUUUUUUAAAUUUGCAACCAUUUAAACAUGUAUUUGUGUCACCAAUCAUAUGCAUAAUUUAAAACACUG